UACGUAGGGUGCAAGCGUUGUCCGGAUUUAUUGGGCGUAAAGAGCUCGUAGGCGGUCUGUCGCGUCGGAUGUGAAAACCCAGGGCUCAACCCUGGGCCUGCAUUCGAUACGGGCAGACUAGAGUGUGGCAGGGGAGACUGGAAUUCCUGGUGUAGCGGUGAAAUGCGCAGAUAUCAGGAGGAACACCGGUGGCGAAGGCGGGUCUCUGGGACGUGACUGACGCUGAGACGCGAAAGCGUGGGGAGCAAACAGG
RNAcentral lists this ribosomal RNA (253 nucleotides) under uncultured bacterium. Its description in RNAcentral is "partial 16S ribosomal RNA". It matches the Rfam family "Bacterial small subunit ribosomal RNA", at positions 524 to 776 of the family's 1533-position model. The record is from RNAcentral.